GACCGAUAGUGAACCAGUACCGUGAGGGAAAGGCGAAAAGAACCCCGGCGAGGGGAGUGAAAAAGAACCUGAAACCGUGUACGUACAAGCAGUGGGAGCCUCUUAAUGGGGUGACUGCGUACCUUUUGUAUAAUGGGUCAGCGACUUAUAUUCUGUAGCAAGGUUAACCGAAUAGGGGAGCCGAAGGGAAACCGAGUCUUAACUGGGCGUUAAGUUGCAGGGUAUAGACCCGAAACCCGGUGAUCUAGCCAUGGGCAGGUUGAAGGUUGGGUAACACUAACUGGAGGACCGAACCGACUAAUGUUGAAAAAUUAGCGGAUGACUUGUGGCUGGGGGUGAAAGGCCAAUCAAACCGGGAGAUAGCUGGUUCUCCCCGAAAGCUAUUUAGGUAGCGCCUCGUGAAUUCAUCUCCGGGGGUAGAGCACUGUUUCGGCAAGGGGGUCAUCCCGACUUACCAACCCGAUGCAAACUGCGAAUACCGGAGAAUGUUAUCACGGGAGACACACGGCGGGUGCUAACGUCCGUCGUGAAGAGGGAAACAACCCAGACCGCCAGCUAAGGUCCCAAAGUCAUGGUUAAGUGGGAAACGAUGUGGGAAGGCCCAGACAGCCAGGAUGUUGGCUUAGAAGCAGCCAUCAUUUAAAGAAAGCGUAAUAGCUCACUGGUCGAGUCGGCCUGCGCGGAAGAUGUAACGGGGCUAAACCAUG
Molecule: ribosomal RNA, 707 nt
Filed under: Escherichia coli
Lineage: Bacteria; Pseudomonadati; Pseudomonadota; Gammaproteobacteria; Enterobacterales; Enterobacteriaceae
Description: partial 23S ribosomal RNA
Rfam family: Bacterial large subunit ribosomal RNA
Source: RNAcentral